This 372-nucleotide ribosomal RNA is filed under the name uncultured organism. Its description in RNAcentral is "bacterial SSU rRNA". It matches the Rfam family "Bacterial small subunit ribosomal RNA", at positions 526 to 896 of the family's 1533-position model. The record is from RNAcentral.
CAGAGGGUGCAAACGUUGUUCGGAAUUACUGGGCGUAAAGCGCGUGUAGGCGGCAGGGCAAGUCGGAUGUGAAAUCCCGUGGCUCAACCACGGAAGUGCACCCGAAACUGCCCAGCUAGAGUCUCGGAGAGGAAGGUGGAAUGCUUGGUGUAGAGGUGAAAUUCGUAGAUAUCAAGCGGAACACCGGUGGCGAAGGCGGCCUUCUGGACGAUGACUGACGCUGAGACGCGAAAGCGUGGGGAGCAAACAGGAUUAGAUACCCUGGUAGUCCACGCCGUAAACGAUGAGUGCUAGGUGUCACGGGCUUUGACCCCUGUGGUGCCGUAGCUAACGCAGUAAGCACUCCGCCUGGGGAGUACGGCCGCAAGGCUA